RNAcentral lists this ribosomal RNA (240 nucleotides) under uncultured bacterium. RNAcentral describes it as "partial 16S ribosomal RNA". It matches the Rfam family "Bacterial small subunit ribosomal RNA", at positions 976 to 1216 of the family's 1533-position model. The record is from RNAcentral.
UGGUCUUGACAUCCACGGAAGUUUUCAGAGAUGAGAAUGUGCCUUCGGGAACCGUGAGACAGGUGCUGCAUGGCUGUCGUCAGCUCGUGUUGUGAAAUGUUGGGUUAAGUCCCGCAACGAGCGCAACCCUUAUCCUUUGUUGCCAGCGGUCCGGCCGGGAACUCAAAGGAGACUGCCAGUGAUAAACUGGAGGAAGGUGGGGAUGACGUCAAGUCAUCAUGGCCCUUACGACCAGGGCUA